RNAcentral lists this long non-coding RNA (1660 nucleotides) under Homo sapiens (human). Its description in RNAcentral is "non-protein coding lnc-GH2-1:1". Lineage: Eukaryota; Metazoa; Chordata; Mammalia; Primates; Hominidae. The record is from RNAcentral.
ACCGGCUCUAGGAUCCCAAGGCCCAACUCCCCGAACCACUCAGGGUCCUGUGGACAGCUCACCUAGCGGCAAUGGCUGCAGGUAAGCGCCCCUAAAAUCCCUUUGGGCACAACGUGUCCUGAGGGGAGAGGCAGCGCCCUGUAGAUGGGACGGGGGCACUAACCCUCAGGUUUGGGGCUUAUGAAUGUGAGUAUCGCCAUCUAAGGCCAGAUAUUUGGCCAAUCUCUGAAUGUUCCUGGUCUCUGGAGGGAUGGAGAGAGAGAAAAAAACAAACAGCUCCUGGAGCAGGGAGAGCGCUGGCCUCUUCCUCUCCGGCUCCCUCCAUUGCCCUCCGGUUUCUCCCCAGGCUCCCGGACGUCCCUGCUCCUGGCUUUUGCCCUGCUCUGCCUGCCCUGGCUUCAAGAGGCUGGUGCCGUCCAAACCGUUCCGUUAUCCAGGCUUUUUGACCACGCUAUGCUCCAAGCCCAUCGCGCGCACCAGCUGGCCAUUGACACCUACCAGGAGUUUGUAAGUUCUUGGGGAAUGGGUGCGGGUCAGGGGUGGCAAGAAGGGGUGACUUUCCCCCACUGGGGAAGUAAUGGGAGGAGACUAAGGAGCUCAGGGUUGUUUUCUGAAGCGAAAAUGCAGGCAGAUGAGCAUAGGCUGAGCCAGGUUCCCAGAAAAGCAACAAUGGGAGCUGGUCUCCAGCAUAGAAACCAGCAGUCCUUCUUGGUGGGGGGUCCUUCUCCUAGGAAGAAACCUAUAUCCCAAAGGACCAGAAGUAUUCAUUCCUGCAUGACUCCCAGACCUCCUUCUGCUUCUCAGACUCUAUUCCGACACCCUCCAACAUGGAGGAAACGCAACAGAAAUCCGUGAGUGGAUGCCGUCUCCCCUAGGCGGGGAUGGGGGAGACCUGUGGUCAGGGCUCCCGGGCAGCACAGCCACUGCCGGUCCUUCCCCUGCAGAAUCUAGAGCUGCUCCGCAUCUCCCUGCUGCUCAUCGAGUCGUGGCUGGAGCCCGUGCGGUUCCUCAGGAGUAUGUUCGCCAACAACCUGGUGUAUGACACCUCGGACAGCGAUGACUAUCACCUCCUAAAGGACCUAGAGGAAGGCAUCCAAACGCUGAUGGGGGUGAGGGUGGCGCCAGGGGUCGCCAAUCCUGGAACCCCACUGGCUUAGAGGGCUGGGGGAGAGAAACACUGCUGCCCUCUUUGUAGCAGUCAGGCGCUGACCCAAGAGAACUCACCUUAUUCUUCAUUUCGCCUGGUGAAUCCUCCAGGCCCUUCUCUACACCCUGAAGGGGAGGGAGGAAAAUGGAUGAAUGAGAGAGGGAGGGAACAGUGCCCAAGCGCUUGGCCUCUCCUUCUCUUCCUUCACUUUGCAGAGGCUGGAAGACGGCAGCCGCCGGACUGGGCAGAUCCUCAAGCAGACCUACAGCAAGUUUGACACAAACUCACACAACCAUGACGCACUGCUCAAGAACUACGGGCUGCUCUACUGCUUCAGGAAGGACAUGGACAAGGUCGAGACAUUCCUGCGCAUGGUGCAGUGCCGCUCUGUAGAGGGUAGCUGUGGCUUCUAGGUGCCCGCGUGGCAUCCUGUGACCGACCCCUCCCCAGUGCCUCUCCUGGCCCUGGAAGGUGCCACUCCAGUGCCCAUCAGCCUUGUCCUAAUAAAAUUAA